This 301-nucleotide ribosomal RNA is filed under the name uncultured bacterium. Its description in RNAcentral is "partial 16S ribosomal RNA". It matches the Rfam family "Bacterial small subunit ribosomal RNA", at positions 509 to 807 of the family's 1533-position model. The record is from RNAcentral.
CAGCAGCCGCGGGAAUACGUAGGGUGCAAGCGUUAAUCGGAAUUACUGGGCGUAAAGCGUGCGCAGGCGGUUCUAUAAGACAGAUGUGGAAUCCCCGGGCUCAACCUGGGAACUGCAUUUGUGACUGUAGAGCUGGAGUGCGGCAGAGGGGGAUGGAAUUCCGCGUGUAGCAGUGAAAUGCGUAGAUAUGCGGAGGAACACCGAUGGCGAAGGCAAUCCCCUGGGCCUGCACUGACGCUCAUGCACGAAAGCGUGGGGAGCAAACAGGAUUAGAUACCCCGGUAGUCCCUGUCUCUUAUAC